AUAAAAUUAGAAUAUAAUAAUUAAAUUACUACAUUAUAUUAAAAACAUUUAAAAAUUUAGUAAGGGUGAUUAAACUUUUUUAUAUUUUUAUAAAGUACUGUGAAGGAACAUAAUUAAUUAUUUAAAAGAAAAAACUUAUAUUUGUACCUUUUGUAUCAUGGUUUAACUAGAUUUAAAUUCAUAUGAAUAUUCUCGAAAUCUAAUGAGCUAUCUUUUAUCUUUGUAAUAGAAUUAAAAAGUUAAUUGUAGAAAAAAUUUCUUUAGAAUAAAAGAUAGAAAUGAAAUUUUAUUCGCAUUAGAUGAUAGCUAGUUUUUCCUAGAAGGUAUAUUAGUACCUUAAAUUGAUUUAAAUAAAAUAAUAUUAUUUUAUUAUUAUUCAAUUUAAUUAAAUUUUAGAGGAUAAGCUCUAAAAUAAUUUAAUUUUUAUAAUAAACUCCUUUUGGAUAUAAGCUUGAAAAUAGCUAUUAUUAAAGAUUUUGUUAUAAUUCACCAAAUUAUAAAGGAAUAAUUUAUUUAUUAUAUAAAAAGGAAAAGAAAUCAAAAACUUAAUAAGAAUUAUAUUUAUGUUAAAAUGAGUAUUAAAAAUAUAUAACCAUAAAAAAAUUAGUAUUUUUAAAUUUUAGAUAUAAGUAUGAUUAAUAAAUAAUAAAAAGGAACUCGGCAAAUAUAUAUUUCGCCUGUUUAUCAAAAACAUGGCUUCAUGUAUAUAAUACAUAUGAAGUCAGACCUGCCCAGUGAAUAUUUUUAACGGCCGCGGUACUCUGACCGUGCAAAGGUAGCAUAAUCAUUUGCCUUCUAAUUAAAGGCUAGAAUGAACGGUUUAUCGUAAAUAUAGCUGUCUCUUUAUUUAAUAUAUAGAAUUUUAUUUUUAGGUGAAAAAGCCUUAAUUUUAUUAAUAGACAAGAAGACCCUAUCGAGCUUUAAAGCAUUUAACAAAAUAGUAUUUAUUUAACAAAAAAAUUAAUUGUUAAAAAUUUUGGUUGGGGCAACCGAGGGGCAUACAAAGCCCCCUUUUACUAGAAUAACAAACUUGUAUUGAUCCAAAAAAUUUGAUUAAAGAAAAUAGUUACCGUAGGGAUAACAGCAUUAUCUUUUUUGAGAGCUCUUAUCGAAAAAAAGGUUUGUGACCUCGAUGUUGGACCAAAAUAUCCUAAAGAUGCAGAAGUCUUUAAAGGUUGGUCUGUUCGACCAUUAAAAUUUUACGUGAUCUGAGUUCAGACCGGCGUGAGCCAGGUCAGUUUCUAUCUUUAAUUUUUUAAAUUCAUUUAGUACGAAAGGACCAGUGUAUAAUAUAAUAUAUAUUAUAAGAAAAAAAAUAAUAAAUAAUUAAAU
This 1332-nucleotide ribosomal RNA is filed under the name Benthomangelia sp. MNHN IM 2013-9652. RNAcentral describes it as "16S ribosomal RNA". The stretch from base 585 to 1332 matches the Rfam family "Archaeal large subunit ribosomal RNA", at positions 1423 to 2873 of the family's 2987-position model. Lineage: Eukaryota; Metazoa; Mollusca; Gastropoda; Neogastropoda; Conidae. The record is from RNAcentral.